This is a non-coding RNA of Paramuricea clavata, 1017 nucleotides long. The record is from the annotation of a GenBank genome assembly. Lineage: Eukaryota; Metazoa; Cnidaria; Anthozoa; Malacalcyonacea; Plexauridae.
AGAUACUCAUUUCCAAAGCAGAGAAUCUCACAGCUUCCUGCCAGCCACAUUCUGGGCGGGCGUUGCAUUCUUGAUUAUCGGAUUCCAUCUGUAUCUUGUAAAAUUAAUCUAUACUGAAUGUCAUCGCGAGACGAGAGCUGGUCGCUUUGCUAGAUAACGCUUUGUAUAAACUAGUUGAUUCUAUACGAUAAGCUGCUAUGGUUUGUGUUUGAACUUCCUGAAAAAGAUAUCUCAAACGUGGUGGUCCAGUGUAGGUAGUAUUCUACAAUAAGCUGUCGUGGUUUAUGUCUGAACUACCUGAAAAAGAUAUCUCAAACGUGGUGGUCCAGUGUAGGUAGUAUUCUACAAUAAGCUGUCGUGGUUUGUGUCUGAACUACCUGAAAAAGAUAUAUCAAACGUGGUGGUCCAGUGUAGGUAGUAUUCUACAAUAAGCUGUCGUGGUUUGUGUCUGAACUACCUGAAAAAGAUAUCUCAAACGUGGUGGUCCAGUGUAGGUAGUAUUCUACAAUAAGCUGUCGUGGUUUGUGUGUGAACUACCUGAAAAAGAUAUCUCAAACGUGGUGGUCCAGUGUAGGUAGUAUUCAUCAAAAAGCUGCCGUGAUUUGUGUCUGAACUAUAUUUGAAAAGAUGAGUAGUUUGAAUAUACAAGGGAGAGUUUUACACAUGCAUAAAAGGCGCUUCUAAUGUUCAAUUUAUAAAUAUAACGAACCCAACUAAUUUGAAAUACAACCGCAUCAUAAUUACGAUUUUUUUACUGGGGGUUAAAUUUACACUGUACAUUAUAUUAAAUAGAUUUUACACGCAUAAAAACUAUAAAUUUCAUUCGCGGACACUGUAGAUUAACACUUAAUUGGAUGUUAAUUGAAGAACUAAAAGGUUUAAUUUAGAAUAUAGUGUUUGGUGUUUACCGGUACGAAUAUGGUAGAGUACAAAAAUUCUGUAUUUUAAUUAUCGAUAUUUAUAAAUAUAUAUUGCAAUUCAAUAAGAAAAUUAAACAAAAUCUUAUUUAUUUGCCUG